Molecule: ribosomal RNA, 506 nt
Filed under: uncultured Lactococcus sp.
Lineage: Bacteria; Bacillati; Bacillota; Bacilli; Lactobacillales; Streptococcaceae
Description: partial 16S ribosomal RNA
Source: RNAcentral
CACGUAGUUAGCCGUCCCUUUCUGGGUAGUUACCGUCACUUGAUGAGCUUUCCACUCUCACCAACGUUCUUCUCUACCAACAGAGUUUUACGAUCCGAAAACCUUUUUCACUCACGCGGCGUUGCUCGGUCAGACUUUCGUCCAUUGCCGAAGAUUCCCUACUGCUGCCUCCCGUAGGAGUUUGGGCCGUGUCUCAGUCCCAAUGUGGCCGAUCACCCUCUCAGGUCGGCUAUGUAUCAUCGCCUUGGUGAGCCUUUACCUCACCAACUAGCUAAUACAACGCGGGAUCAUCUUUGAGUGAUGCAAUUGCAUCUUUCAAACUUAAACUUAUGUUUAAAGUUAUUAUGCGGUAUUAGCAUUUCGUUUCCAAAUGUUGUCCCCCGCUCAAAGGCAGACUUCCCCACGCCGUUACUCCACCCGUUCGCUGCUCUUCAAUUGUGCAAGCACAAUCUUCAUCGCUCAACUUGCAUGUAUUAGGCACGCCGCCAGCGUCUCUCGUGCAACGG